CAUGCAGCUAUCAUCAGAUACUAAACAGCAGAGUGACCUUGCUGCUGAAAACGAUAUGGCCUUUGCUCAUUGAUCUGUAGCUGCCUAGUGUUACUUUUUAAUUAUCCAGUAGUCCUGUGUUCCAGGAGCUAUCAUUUGACUCAUUGUGUCUAAUAUUGACCCAGGUAAAUUUGUGAAGUUUACUCUAGAGUGAGGUGCUAUGCUUGUCCUGUGGGAGUAGAUUUGGAGUAUGCUGAUCUUUAUCCUUGUUUCCAUAUAGAGUAUGAUUCUAUUAAUUAAUUAACUUGAUGUCACUAUUUUCUGCUAUAAGGGCCUGGGAGGCACUGGUG
Pseudophryne corroboree (corroboree frog) is the source of this 329-nucleotide long non-coding RNA. RefSeq lists it as uncharacterized. The record is from RefSeq and is a predicted model, not a curated record. The transcript has 3 exons. NCBI's taxonomy places the organism in Eukaryota, Metazoa, Chordata, Amphibia, Anura, Myobatrachidae.